Equus asinus (donkey) is the source of this 1900-nucleotide long non-coding RNA. NCBI's taxonomy places the organism in Eukaryota, Metazoa, Chordata, Mammalia, Perissodactyla, Equidae. The record is from Ensembl.
CAGCAUUAGGGAACCGGAGCCUGAGAGUGGCAAUGCUGUGGAGAAACCAGCAAGGGCAUUAACUUCCCCUGGGGAAAAUGUGUACAAUCGUAUCAACAAAUCCAUGGAGAUAUGACAAUCACCAGAGAUGCGGUGGGAAUAUUAUGUUGCAUCUGCUUCUGACUGCUUCCCAAGCCUUGAUUAUGACACAGAGGAGAAGACAACUUAGCCAUAGUGCCUGGCAAGGCACUGCGUCAGGUCCUGAAGGUACAAGAGUGAACAAGACUGAUAUAUUCCUUCUCCUCAUGAGAAGCAGAUGUGAAACAAAGAAUCCUGGAGGUCAGAAGUCCAAAAUCAAGAAGUUGGCCAGGUUGUGCUCCCCACGAAGGCUCAAGAACACCAGUCAUUGGACUUAAAGCCCCCCCCCAAAUCCAGGAUGAUCUCAUCUCACGAUCCUUAACUUAAUGACAUCUGCAAAGAUCUUAUUUCCAAAUAAGGUCACAUUCACAGACAUCAGAGCUCCUGGUUCUCGUGCCUUUGGACUCCAGACUAAUACCAGUGGCCCUCCCAGUUCUCAGUCCUUCAGCAUUGGACUGAACGAUACCACCAGCUUUCCUGGUUCUCCAGCUUGCAGAUGGCAGACUGUGGGACUUUGUGGCCUCCACAACCAGGUUCUUCUGGCUGGUCUAAGAAUUCAAUUGACUUGAGACAGAUUAACAGGAGAAAAACCAAAGAAAGCUUAGUAACAUGUAUACAUGGGAGAAACCCAGGAAAACCAAGUAACUCACCAAAAUGGCUGCAGCCCUCAACUUAAAUACCAUCCUCAGCUAAAGACAAAAUAGGAUGCUGGGGGUAAGAAGAGUCAGGGACUUCAAGGGAAGGAAGGCAAAUCACAGCCCUCAGGCAUGCUUCAGUGGAAGAUUUGGGAGAAAUUAUAAUGGUCCCAGCCAAGAAUUUUUAUUAAAAAAGUUUUAAAAAGGGCCAGAAGACUUUCCCCCUUUGAAGCAGAGGAAAACCAACCACUGCAGCCCCCUGUGCCUCCCACCAUCGCCAUCAUCGCCACCACUACCUCUCAGCCUUCUAGUGUGUUCACUGGCUUUCUGAUUCUGGCAUCUUCUUGGAACUUCCUUGCCCCUUGUAACUGCUAAUGGACCUGCGCAGCGACCACGGCCUGAGAAAGGUAUGAUUACCAAGAGAUCAGAUGCCUCAGCAAUGGAAGCUUGAGCCACACCACCAGGUAAGCCAUUGAGUCCUGCCAAGGCGAGGGCUGAGGGUGAGGGGUAAUUUAGAAUGGACGGUGGAGGAGGAAGAGGAUGAGGUCCAGGUGUGGUCCUGAGAUCAAAUGCAGCACCAAGGGCUGUGCUUUAUCCUACUAACUUCCCUUUUUUGAGUUUUUGCCUCAGGAAGAAAGUCCUGUGGGAACCGUGGAGAAGGUGCUCCUCCAACUUCGGUGGAGAUGUAGAUUUGUGCAGCGCCAACAGGAGCAUGUGGUGGCCAUGAAAGUGCAUCUCUCGGAUUUCCUACUUCAGGGAGUAUAGUUGACCCACAGAUCAGCUGCUGUGCUCUGAAAUCUAUCACCACAUUCGCACUGAGGUGGUGCUUUUCCUAGGUUGCUCCCAGCAAAUGACUGAGUGUAGCAGGGAUACUUAGCAGGCCCGUACCUGUAACAUGCUGGCCUCCUCUGAAGGGCCACUUUGCCUCAGGACUGCCCAGAGGCCUGGCUGAAACUUUCUUAGAACUGUGCUGAAGUCUAAGAAGUAACUCCUGACUCUCUUAUUCCCUUCUUCGCUCCCUCCCUAGUUUCUGCUUUCUUCUCUUUCACAUGGGGCAGAACUACAUCAUGGUCUGAUGGCUCCUCCACCAGUUCCUUCUCCAUCUUCCCUCACUGGGAUUUCCUCUAAUAAAUCUCUUGCACAUCUAA